Molecule: unclassified non-coding RNA, 212 nt
Filed under: plant metagenome
Description: partial contains small subunit ribosomal RNA, internal transcribed spacer 1, and 5.8S ribosomal RNA
Source: RNAcentral
UCUCCGUUGGUGAACCAGCGGAGGGAUCAUUACAGGAUCGAAAGACUCCUAUAACCCCUGUGAACUUACUACAAAUACGUUGCUUCGGCGGGGGCCCGGGGUCUCCCGGGGCGUUCAGCCCGCCGGCAGCCUUCAAAUUCUGUUUCUUUGCGUUGGCAUCUCGAGUAUACAAAAAUAAGUUAAAACUUUCAACAACGGAUCUCUUGGUUCUG